This 83-nucleotide ribosomal RNA is filed under the name Pseudomonas luteola. RNAcentral's name for it is "partial 16S ribosomal RNA". It matches the Rfam family "Bacterial small subunit ribosomal RNA", at positions 1 to 82 of the family's 1533-position model. Lineage: Bacteria; Pseudomonadati; Pseudomonadota; Gammaproteobacteria; Pseudomonadales; Pseudomonadaceae. The record is from RNAcentral.
GAACUGAAGAGUUUGAUCAUGGCUCAGAUUGAACGCUGGCGGCAGGCCUAACACAUGCAAGUCGAGCGGAUGAGGAGAGCUUG